RNAcentral lists this ribosomal RNA (796 nucleotides) under uncultured marine bacterium. RNAcentral's name for it is "bacterial SSU rRNA". It matches the Rfam family "Bacterial small subunit ribosomal RNA", at positions 86 to 919 of the family's 1533-position model. The record is from RNAcentral.
CAAUACUUAGUGGCAGACGGGUGAGUAACAUGUAGGUAUCUACCCUUUGGCCUGGAAUAACACGAGGAAACUUGUGCUAAUACCGGAUAAGUCUUUACGGAGAAAGCUUUAUGCACCAUUGGAUGAGCCUGCACUUGAUUAGUUUGUUGGUGGGGUAAUGGCCUACCAAGACUUUGAUCAAUAGCUGAUUCGAGAGGAUGAUCAGCCACAUUGGGACUGAGACACGGCCCAAACUCCUACGGGAGGCAGCAGUGGGGAAUCUUGCACAAUGGAGGAAACUCUGAUGCAGCGAUGCCGCGUGAGUGAAGAAGGCCCUUGGGUUGUAAAGCUCCUUCGUCGGGGAAGAAAAUGACUGUACCCGAAUAAGAAGGUUCGGCUAACUUCGUGCCAGCAGCCGCGGUAAUACGAAGGGACCUAGCGUAGUUCGGAAUUACUGGGCUUAAAGAGUUCGUAGGUGGUUGAAAAAGUUGGUGGUGAAAUCCCAGAGCUUAACUCUGGAACUGCCAUCAAAACUUUUCAGCUAGAGUUUGAUAGAGGAAAGCAGAAUUUCUAGUGUAGAGGUGAAAUUCGUAGAUAUUAGAAAGAAUACCAAUUGCGAAGGCAGCUUUCUGGAUCAUUACUGACACUGAGGAACGAAAGCAUGGGUAGCGAAGAGGAUUAGAUACCCUCGUAGUCCAUGCCGUAAACGAUGUGUGUUAGACGUUGGAAAUUUAUUUUCAGUGUCGCAGCGAAAGCGAUAAACACACCGCCUGGGGAGUACGACCGCAAGGUUAAAACUCAAAUGAAUUGACGGGGA